RNAcentral lists this ribosomal RNA (245 nucleotides) under uncultured bacterium. Its description in RNAcentral is "partial small subunit ribosomal RNA". It matches the Rfam family "Bacterial small subunit ribosomal RNA", at positions 26 to 285 of the family's 1533-position model. The record is from RNAcentral.
AGAAUCAACGCUGGCGGCGUGCCUAACACAUGCAAGUCGCACGAGAAAGGGACUUCGGUCCUGAGUACAGUGGCGCACGGGUGAGUAACACGUGAAUAAUCUACCUCCGAGUGGGGAAUAACUGAGAGAAAUCUUAGCUAAUACCGCAUAACACUUACGAGUCAAAGCAGCAAUGCGCUUGGAGAGGAGUUCGCGGCAGAUUAGUUAGUUGGCGGGGUAAUGGCCCACCAAGACGAUGAUCUGUA